This 791-nucleotide ribosomal RNA is filed under the name uncultured archaeon. RNAcentral's name for it is "bacterial SSU rRNA". It matches the Rfam family "Archaeal small subunit ribosomal RNA", at positions 85 to 879 of the family's 1478-position model. The record is from RNAcentral.
ACGGCUCAGUAACACGUGGAUAACCUGCCCAAGGGUCCGGGAUAACCCCGGGAAACUGGGGAUAAUACCGGAUGGAUCACUAGUGCUGGAAUGCUUGGUGGUCGAAAGGUAACGCCCUUGGAUGGGUCUGCGGCGGAUUAGGUUGACGCCGGUGUAACGUACCGGCGUGCCUGUAAUCCGUACGGGUUGUGGGAGCAAGAGCCCGGAGAUGGAUUCUGAGACACGAAUCCAGGCCCUACGGGGCGCAGCAGGCGCGAAAACUCUACAAUGCAGGCAACUGCGAUAGGGGGACAUCGAGUGGCAUCCACCUUGGGUGCCUGUCCAACCGUCUAAAAAACGGUUGUUAGCAAGGGCCGGGUAAGACCGGUGCCAGCCGCCGCGGUAAUACCGGCGGCUCGAGUGGUGGCCGAUAUUAUUGAGUCUAAAGGGUCCGUAGCCGGCUUUGCAAGUCCCCUGGGAAAUCCAGCGGCUUAACCGUUGGGCUUUCAUGGGAUACUACAUUGCUUGGGACUGGGAGAGGUAGGAGGUACUCGAGGGGUAGGGGUGAAAUCCUGUAAUCCUUCGGGGACCACCGGUGGCGAAGGCGUCCUACCAGAACAGGUCCGACGGUGAGGGACGAAAGCUAGGGGCACGAACCGGAUUAGAUACCCGGGUAGUCCUAGCCGUAAACGAUGCCCGCUAGGUGUCACGACGGUCGUGAAUCGUCGUGGUGCCGUAGGGAAGCCGCGAAGCGGGCCACUUGGGAAGUACGACCGCAAGGUUGAAACUUAAAGGAAUUGGCGGGGGAGCAC